UGGGGAAUAUUGCACAAUGGAGGGAACUCUGAUGCAGCGACGCCGCGUGAACGAAGAAGGCUUUCGAGUCGUAAAGUUCUUUUAUAUGGGAAGAUAAUGACGGUACCAUAAGAAAAAGCCCCGGCUAACUACGUGCCAGCAGCCGCGGUAAUACGUAGGGGGCUAGCGUUGUCCGGAAUCACUGGGCGUAAAGGGUUCGCAGGCGGAAAUGCAAGUCAGGUGUAAAAGGCAGUAGCUUAACUACUGUAAGCAUUUGAAACUGCAUAUCUUGAGAAGAGUAGAGGUAAGUGGAAUUUUUAGUGUAGCGGUGAAAUGCGUAGAUAUUAAUAAGAAUACCGGUGCGAAGGCGACUUACUGGGCUCAUUCUGACGCUGAGGAACGAAAGCGUGGGUAGCAAACAGG
This 402-nucleotide ribosomal RNA is filed under the name bacterium. RNAcentral's name for it is "partial 16S ribosomal RNA". It matches the Rfam family "Bacterial small subunit ribosomal RNA", at positions 355 to 776 of the family's 1533-position model. The record is from RNAcentral.